This 330-nucleotide ribosomal RNA is filed under the name uncultured eukaryote. RNAcentral's name for it is "partial 18S ribosomal RNA". It matches the Rfam family "Eukaryotic small subunit ribosomal RNA", at positions 1470 to 1796 of the family's 1831-position model. The record is from RNAcentral.
CCCUUAGAUGUUCUGGGCCGCACGCGUGCUACACUGAUGCAUUCAACGAGUCUAAAACCUGGUCUGAUAGGGCUGGGUAAUCUUUUGAAAGUGCAUCGUGAUUGGGAUAGAUGAUUGCAAUUCUUCAUCUUCAACGAGGAAUGCCUAGUAAACGCAAGUCAUCAGCUUGCAUUGAUUACGUCCCUGCCCUUUGUACACACCGCCCGUCGCUCCUACCGAUUGAAUGAUCCGAUGAAUACCAUGGAUUGAGAGUACGAAUAGGUUCGCUUAUUUCUGCUGCUCGAGAAGUGGAGUAAAUCUUAUCAUUGAGAGGAAGGAGAAGUCGUAACA